GGCCGUUUAGCUUAGCAGUCAAAGCGCCGGACCUUUAUACCACCGCCUCAUUCCCCCCAACCGCAGUGACUUCAGAAAACCCGGAGACCGCAGGUUCAAUUCCUGUAACGGCUA
Gnomoniopsis smithogilvyi is the source of this 114-nucleotide non-coding RNA. NCBI's taxonomy places the organism in Eukaryota, Fungi, Ascomycota, Sordariomycetes, Diaporthales, Gnomoniaceae. The record is from the annotation of a GenBank genome assembly.